This 1286-nucleotide long non-coding RNA is filed under the name Homo sapiens (human). RNAcentral describes it as "HSALNT0324829". Lineage: Eukaryota; Metazoa; Chordata; Mammalia; Primates; Hominidae. The record is from RNAcentral.
CUGGCUGACGGGGGCGGGAGGGGGUGGGGUGGUGGGAACCGGCCACGCCGGGAAAGGUGCAGUAGGCGCACACAAUUGACUGAAGAGGACAGCUGAGACUUAUACGGAGGAUUCCACCUACGUCUCCAGCCAGCCUUACGGUUCUCCCACUGCUGCUCAACACUAAGGGCCCUGGGAGAGCGGGUGCGGGCGGCUGAGCUCUGCCCGCAUCCCACCUCUCACGCAGCCGCGGAGUGGACUCGGCCUGGGAACCCUUGUAAUCCAAUUGCGGGAGGAGGUGCCAGGAAUGACCCCUCCACCGUGGGCUGUGGGCGUGGUGGGAGGAUCAUUUCACCCCAGGACAAGGGUGAGCCCUUAGGAAGCUGGAAUAGAUACUUCGAAGCCCGAGAUGACCACUGUCCACGGCAGCCUCAGUCCCUUUCUCCCAGAACAUCAUUUAGCUGUUGAGCUAAAUCAUCCACUUGGCCCCUUACAGCCUCGACCUCGUCACAAUGAAGUAGAUGAGGCCACAGAAGCCUUUGUUAUCUCCACGAGCAGCUGGAGCCCGGCUUUGGCUGAGCCCUGGCAAUGCCUGCUACACCCCAGACCAAGACAGAAGACAACCAGCAUCUAUGAACCAGGAAGCCCCCACCAGGCACUGAAUCUGCCCCUGCGUGGAUCUUAGACUUGCAGACUCCAGAACUAACCUUACAAUGUCUCUUCUCCAUUAAGAAAACCUACUUCAACAUCUCCAUUGGUUCUCAACAUAGAGGUCCAAAUUUUGGUCUGGAGCCAGAGACAAUAUAGGAUGAAGUUUGAUUUGUUCCAAAACCCACAGAAAUCUCUAAAAUGGAAGAAUUUUCUUAGAACCAAAAGGCAUGGAAUUGAUGACAUGAAACUGCCUGAGCUUCUCAGCUGACCUGUGAUGGAGUGUUGUGCCCAAGUGGAAAGUUCUUCUUUCUUUCAGAGACAUAUCAUUCACCAUAAAAUACAACCAGAGACUUCAAAAUUACUCCAGGCUAGAAGGACACUCCAAUUAGGGGAAAAGUAACCUAUGGGCAAACCAUCUUCCGUAAGAGUUCAAGGACAAAAAACUACUGAUGUUGUAAUAACAUUGAAACUUAAUGUUUUGGGCAAUCCUUAAGUGAUUUAUUUGGAGUGUCCCAGUCAUUUUAGACCUCUUCACCUUACAAUGUAUUGUGUGAGAUUAUAUUUCCAUGCACCUAAUUUUAAAAUAAAUUUAUUUAGGUAGAUGUAGAGACAUAUUACUGUGAUAAAGCAGUUCAUACCAAAUAAAAUUUAGCUAA